UUUUUCAAGCAUACCUAAUUAUAAGCAUAAAAAAAAUAUUUUCAAAAAGAAAAGGAAAUCAUGUAAUUAUCAUAUUCCUCCCCCACACCUAAACUAUGCAUUGUCCUUAAUGUAUCAAAAAGAAAAUAGCUCACAAAAGAAAUGAAAAGAAAUAUGAAACUCCCCUGAAUAGUCAAUGGUGAUGGUGGGAAAGGAGGUAGAACCGCC
Molecule: long non-coding RNA, 207 nt
Filed under: Ricinus communis (castor bean)
Lineage: Eukaryota; Viridiplantae; Streptophyta; Magnoliopsida; Malpighiales; Euphorbiaceae
Description: long non-coding RNA (RCOM_LNC000727)
Source: RNAcentral